RNAcentral lists this transfer RNA (540 nucleotides) under uncultured cyanobacterium. Its description in RNAcentral is "partial 16S-23S ribosomal RNA intergenic spacer". The stretch from base 212 to 284 matches the Rfam family "tRNA". Lineage: Bacteria; Bacillati; Cyanobacteriota. The record is from RNAcentral.
CAGGGAGACAACAAAAUGUUUAAUAUUAUUAUUUUGUCACCUUAGGUCGAUCGGUAUCUCACGUUCUUAAUUUGUUAAGAAUUUCAUUUCCUAAGUUUUUCUAGGUCACACCCAUUAUUUUUCCUGGGCCAUUAGCUCAGGUGGUUAGAGCGCACCCCUGAUAAGGGUGAGGUCCCUGGUUCAAGUCCAGGAUGGCCCAUAUCUCUAUGUUGGGGGUAUAGCUCAGUUGGUAGAGCGCCUGCUUUGCAAGCAGGAUGUCAGCGGUUCGAGUCCGCUUACCUCCACUGAUUACCACCUCUUCCAUAAUCUGUAGAAGGAAAAAUUUUUGAGUUGUGAUCAAAUUCUGAACGAAUCUAGCUUCCUAAUGAAAUCAUUAAGAUGCUGGACUCAUUGAAUUAAUUUCAUUGUUUUCAGAGAACCUUGACAACUGCAUAGAUUAUUUUUAAAGACAAUAAGCAUCUUUAAUGAUGCAGACUUAUUAUUUGUGCGAAUGCAUUAAUAACAAUUCUAUUAAGCUGAUGCUUCAAUUUUGAAGUUAUU